GAUGGUCGUCUUAACAGAGCCUUGCUCUGUUGUUGCUCGUGAUCAGCACCUGGCAUCUGCUGCCAAAGACUCUGCCCACAUCAGAGACUCUUGAUGUCUGUCCGGAACAGACAAGCAAAGUGGAUCAGCAAAGGCUGCAGUCACCAGCAUCUUUUCCAACCUUAAUGAACUGUAUCCUCAAAAGAACACUAUCAGACUGGUAAGACAAGCAUUAUUGUCCCACUUCACAGAUGAAGAGCUUGGGGGCCCUGUGGAUGUGUAGGAGAGUCGGCCUUCCUUUUUAUAGGCCUUUUGCUGAGCUCAGAGGACAGAGCAGAAGACAAAGCCGAAAGCAGCCCUAAGCAGACACUAUCCCAGCCCAAGGAGCUAUGCAGACAGCUCCUGCCUAGAGGAGAAACAAUUCUCUCCUUCAGCCAGGCAUGUGGCACAGAGGUGAACAGGAAAUGCUUAGGGAGACAGUUCACAGAUAUAUAUGUACUUCACAGGGCACAAUUUAAUCCAUAAAUCAAUCAUGGAUCACUGCUAAAGAAAACAAAAUAUGCUGCCACUAAUUUGCCACCACCCUGUGAGCAUGAUUGGAUGAUGUUUAUUUUGAUUAGGAGAUUGCUCCAUUUAUAAAUCUUCAAUACAUCCUGUCCCCCUAAAACGGCAUCUGGAUCUUUUGAGGGUUAAAAAAAAAAAAA
Long non-coding RNA from Homo sapiens (human), 683 nucleotides. Ensembl annotates it as cytoskeleton regulator RNA. Its record names the gene CYTOR. Lineage: Eukaryota; Metazoa; Chordata; Mammalia; Primates; Hominidae. The record is from Ensembl.